UGCCAGCAGCCGCGGUAAUACGGAGGGUGCAAGCGUUAAUCGGAAUUACUGGGCGUAAAGCGCGCGUAGGUUGAUUGGUCAGUCAGAUGUGAAAGCCCCGGGCUCAACCUGGGAACUGCGUUUGAAACUACAAGGCUAGAGUGUGGCAGAGGGGGGUGGAAUUCCGCGUGUAGCAGUGAAACGCGUAGAGAUGUGGAGGAACACCGAUGGCGAAGGCAGCCCCCUGGGUCAACACUGACGCUCAGGCACGAAAGCAUGGGGAGCAAACAGGAUUAGAUA
Molecule: ribosomal RNA, 279 nt
Filed under: uncultured bacterium
Lineage: Bacteria
Description: partial 16S ribosomal RNA
Rfam family: Bacterial small subunit ribosomal RNA
Source: RNAcentral